This 451-nucleotide unclassified non-coding RNA is filed under the name Cryptococcus sp. DMKU-Y43-B. Its description in RNAcentral is "partial contains ITS1, 5.8S rRNA and ITS2". The stretch from base 77 to 230 matches the Rfam family "5.8S ribosomal RNA". Lineage: Eukaryota; Fungi; Basidiomycota; Tremellomycetes; Tremellales; Cryptococcaceae. The record is from RNAcentral.
CCUCUGUGAACCGUUGACCUCCGGGUUAAUAAUCAAACAUCAGUGUAACGAACGUAAGAGUAUCUUAACGAAACAAAACUUUCAACAACGGAUCUCUUGGCUCUCGCAUCGAUGAAGAACGCAGCGAAAUGCGAUAAGUAAUGUGAAUUGCAGAAUUCAGUGAAUCAUCGAAUCUUUGAACGCACCUUGCGCCUUUUGGUAUUCCGAAAGGCAUGCCUGUUUCAGUGUCAUGAAAUCUCAAUCUAAUAUGUUUUCUGAACAUGUUAGGCUUGGACUUGGGCGUCUGCCAGUGAUGGCUCGCCUCAAAUGACUUAGUGGAACAUCCCACAUCAGUGUUAGACGUAAUAAGUUUCGUCUCUCCUUGUGGUGAUGACUGCUCAGAACCUGCCAUCGCGCAUCUUUUGACUUUGACCUGAAAUCAGGUAGGGCUACCCGCUGAACUUAAGCAUAU